Molecule: ribosomal RNA, 774 nt
Filed under: uncultured Neocallimastigales
Lineage: Eukaryota; Fungi; Neocallimastigomycota; Neocallimastigomycetes; Neocallimastigales
Description: partial large subunit ribosomal RNA
Rfam family: Eukaryotic large subunit ribosomal RNA
Source: RNAcentral
CGCAUCUGUGCAUGCAGCAUAUCAAUAAGCGGAGGAAAAGAAACUAACAAGGAUUCCCCUAGUAACGGCGAGUGAAGCGGGAAGAGCUCAAAUUUGAAAUCUUAAAGGGUUUCCCUUUACGAAUUGUAGUUUAAAGAAGUGUUUUCUGUUGAGGUUUUGGUAAAAGUUCUUUGGAAUAGGACAUCAUAGAGGGUGAGAAUCCCGUAUUUGACCUUUACUUUCAACGUUGUGAUACACUUUCAAAGAGUCGGAUUGUUUGGGAAUGCAGUCCAAAAUGGGUGGUAAAUUUCAUCUAAAGCUAAAUAUUGGCGAGAGACCGAUAGCGAACAAGUACCGUGAGGGAAAGAUGAAAAGAACUUUGAAAAGAGAGUUAAACAGUACGUGAAAUUGUCAAAAGGGAAGCGUUUGACACCAGUGUUGUUUUUCUGAAAAUCAAUUAAAGAACUGUUUAUGCUAAGUUGUUUAGACUUUAUCAGCUAACUGUUUAGUUUUGAGCUUUUCUUUAAUGCACUUUUCAGUUAACAAGUCAACAUCAAUUUCUAUUGCUGUAAAAAAGCUUGAGGAAGGUGGCUUGAGAUUCGUCUUAAGUGUUUAUAGCCUCUUGCCUAUGCAGUCGGAGAGAUUGAGGUCUGCAGCGUAGAUCCUUCGGGGCUAAAUGCAUUUGUGCUAAGUUAUAACAUUUUAUAGACAACUUGUUGACUAUGAUUUGUCUUGUAGCUUACUCGCUUAUGUUAUUUUACCUACGCUUAGGAUGUUGAACGCGCACAGAGUCUC